GAUGAACGCUGGCGGCGUGCCUAAUACAUGCAAGUCGAGCGAACAGACGAGGAGCUUGCUCCUCUGACGUUAGCGGCGGACGGGCGAGUAACACGAGGAUAACCUACCUAUAAGACUGGGAUAACUUCGGGAAACCGGAGCUAAUACCGGAUAAUAUAUUGAACCGCAUGGUUCAAUAGAGAAAGACGGUUUUGCUGUCACUUAUAGAUGGAUCCGCGCCGCAUUAGCUAGUUGGUAAGGUAACGGCUUACCAAGGCAACGAUGCGUAGCCGACCUGAGAGGGUGAUCAGCCACACUGGAACUGAGACGCGGUCCAGACUCCUACGGGAGGCAGCAGUAGGGAAUCUUCCGCAAUGGGCGAAAGCCUGACGGAGCAACGCCGCGUGAGUGAUGAAGGUCUUCGGAUCGUAAAACUCUGUUAUUAGGGAAGAACAAAUGUGUAAGUAACUAUGCACGUCUUGACGGUACCUAAUCAGAAAGCCACGGCUAACUACGUG
Molecule: ribosomal RNA, 497 nt
Filed under: uncultured bacterium
Lineage: Bacteria
Description: partial 16S ribosomal RNA
Rfam family: Bacterial small subunit ribosomal RNA
Source: RNAcentral